RNAcentral lists this ribosomal RNA (253 nucleotides) under uncultured bacterium. Its description in RNAcentral is "partial 16S ribosomal RNA". It matches the Rfam family "Bacterial small subunit ribosomal RNA", at positions 524 to 776 of the family's 1533-position model. The record is from RNAcentral.
UACAGAGGUCUCAAGCGUUGUUCGGAUUCAUUGGGCGUAAAGGGUGCGUAGGCGGCGUGGUAAGUCGGGUGUGAAAUCUCGGAGCUUAACUCCGAAACUGCAUUCGAUACUGCCGCGCUUGAGGACUGGAGAGGAGACUGGAAUUUACGGUGUAGCGGUGAAAUGCGUAGAUAUCGUAAGGAAGACCAGUGGCGAAGGCGGGUCUCUGGACAGUUCCUGACGCUGAGGCACGAAGGUCAGGGGAGCAAACGGG